CCUACGGGUGGCAGCAGUGAGGAAUAUUGGUCAAUGGACGUGAGUCUGAACCAGCCAAGUAGCGUGAAGGAUGACUGCCCUAUGGGUUGUACACUUCUUUUAUAUGGGAAUAAAAUGUUCCACGUGUGGGAUUUUGUAUGUACCAUAUGAAUAAGGAUCGGCUAACUCCGUGCCAGCAGCCGCGGUAAUACGGAGGAUCCGAGCGUUAUCCGGAUUUAUUGGGUUUAAAGGGAGCGUAGGUGGAUUGUUAAGUCAGUUGUGAAAGUUUGCGGCUCAACCGUAAAAUUGCAGUUGAAACUGGCAGUCUGGAGGACAGUAGAGGUGGGCGGAAUUCGUGGUGUAGCGGUGAAAUGCUUAGAUAUCACGAAGAACUCCGAUUGCGAAGGCAGCCUACUAAACUGCCACUGACAUUGAUGCUCGAAAGUGUGGGUAUCAAACAGGAUUAGAUACCCGGGUAGUC
This 460-nucleotide ribosomal RNA is filed under the name uncultured bacterium. RNAcentral describes it as "partial 16S ribosomal RNA". It matches the Rfam family "Bacterial small subunit ribosomal RNA", at positions 338 to 795 of the family's 1533-position model. The record is from RNAcentral.